RNAcentral lists this ribosomal RNA (795 nucleotides) under uncultured bacterium. RNAcentral's name for it is "bacterial SSU rRNA". It matches the Rfam family "Bacterial small subunit ribosomal RNA", at positions 8 to 775 of the family's 1533-position model. The record is from RNAcentral.
AGAGUUUGAUCAUGGCUCAGAAUGAACGCUGGCGGCGUGCUUAACACAUGCAAGUCGUACGAGAACUCUUUAGCUUGCUAAAGAUAGUAAAGUGGCGCACGGGUGAGUAACGCGUGGGUAAUCUACCUCCGAAUCGGGGAUAACCCGCCGAAAGGCGAGCUAAUACCGGAUAAUAUCUAUAGAACCUCGGUUUUAAAGAUCAAAGGUGGUCUCUACAUGUAAGCUACUGUUUGGAGAUGAGCCCGCGUACCAUUAGCUUGUUGGUAGGGUAAUGGCCUACCAAGGCUUCGAUGGUUAGCUGGUCUGAGAGGAUGAUCAGCCACACUGGAACUGACACACGGUCCAGACUCCUACGGGAGGCAGCAGUGAGGAAUUUUGCGCAAUGGGGGAAACCCUGACGCAGCAACGCCGCGUGAGUGAUGAAGGCUUUCGGGUCGUAAAGCUCUGUCAAGUGGGAAGAACAUGCUUGAUGCUAAUACCAUCUUGCACUGACGGUACCACUGAAGGAAGCACCGGCUAACUCCGUGCCAGCAGCCGCGGUAAUACGGGGGGUGCAAGCGUUAUUCGGAAUUAUUGGGCGUAAAGGGCGCGUAGGCGGUCUCUUAAGUCAGAUGUGAAAGCCCGGGGCUUAACCCCGGAAGUGCAUUUGAAACUAAGGGACUUGAGUAUGGGAGAGGGAAGUGGAAUUCCUGGUGUAGAGGUGAAAUUCGUAGAUAUCAGGAGGAACACCGGUGGCGAAGGCGACUUCCUGGACCAAUACUGACGCUGAGGCGCGAAGGCGUGGGGAGCAAACAG